This 660-nucleotide ribosomal RNA is filed under the name Rhodotorula diobovata. RNAcentral describes it as "LSU rRNA". It matches the Rfam family "Eukaryotic large subunit ribosomal RNA", at positions 1 to 665 of the family's 3401-position model. The record is from RNAcentral. Lineage: Eukaryota; Fungi; Basidiomycota; Microbotryomycetes; Sporidiobolales; Sporidiobolaceae.
UUUUGAUUAGAUCUCAAAUCAGGUAGGACUACCCGCUGAACUUAAGCAUAUCAAUAAGCGGAGGAAAAGAAACUAACAAGGAUUCCCCUAGUAGCGGCGAGCGAAGCGGGAAGAGCUCAAAUUUAUAAUCUGGCACCUUCGGUGUCCGAGUUGUAAUCUCUAGAAGUGUUUUCCGCGUUGGACCGCACACAAGUCUGUUGGAAUACAGCGGCAUAGUGGUGAAACCCCCGUAUAUGGUGCGGACGCCCAGCGCUUUGUGAUACACUUUCAAUGAGUCGAGUUGUUUGGGAAUGCAGCUCAAAUUGGGUGGUAAAUUCCAUCUAAAGCUAAAUAUUGGCGAGAGACCGAUAGCGAACAAGUACCGUGAGGGAAAGAUGAAAAGCACUUUGGAAAGAGAGUUAACAGUACGUGAAAUUGUUGGAAGGGAAACGCUUGAAGUCAGACUUGCUUGCCGGAGCUUGCUUCGGUUUGCAGGCCAGCAUCAGUUUUCCGGGGUGGAUAAUGACGGUUUGAAGGUAGCAGUCUCGGCUGUGUUAUAGCUUUCCGUUGGAUACGCCCUGGGGGACUGAGGAACGCAGCGUGCUUUUUGCGAAAGACUCGUCUUUUUCACGCUUAGGAUGCUGGUGGAAUGGCUUUAAACGACCCGUCUUGAAACACGGA